AACUUCUUAAGAGUGUUUUGAAAACACUAAAGAGGCAAAGCCUAGAAGUUU
RNAcentral lists this transfer RNA (51 nucleotides) under Metacrangonyx ilvanus. RNAcentral describes it as "transfer RNA Serine". The record is from RNAcentral. Lineage: Eukaryota; Metazoa; Arthropoda; Malacostraca; Amphipoda; Metacrangonyctidae.